This 301-nucleotide ribosomal RNA is filed under the name uncultured bacterium. Its description in RNAcentral is "partial 16S ribosomal RNA". It matches the Rfam family "Bacterial small subunit ribosomal RNA", at positions 509 to 807 of the family's 1533-position model. The record is from RNAcentral.
CAGUCGCCACGGUAAAACGGAGGGUGCAAGCGUUAAUCGGAAUUACUGGGCGUAAAGCGCACGCAGGCGGUCUGUCAAGUCAGAUGUGAAAUCCCCGGGCUUAACCUGGGAACUGCAUUUGAAACUGGCAAGCUAGAGUCUUGUAGAGGGGGGUAGAAUUCCAGGUGUAGCGGUGAAAUGCGUAGAGAUCUGGAGGAAUACCGGUGGCGAAGGCGGCCCCCUGGACAAAGACUGACGCUCAGGUGCGAAAGCGUGGGGAGCAAACAGGAUUAGAUACCCCUGUAGUCCCUGUCUCUUAUAC